This 2904-nucleotide ribosomal RNA is filed under the name Klebsiella pneumoniae. Its description in RNAcentral is "bacterial LSU rRNA". It matches the Rfam family "Bacterial large subunit ribosomal RNA". RNAcentral also lists the same sequence under 1 other name. Lineage: Bacteria; Pseudomonadati; Pseudomonadota; Gammaproteobacteria; Enterobacterales; Enterobacteriaceae. The record is from RNAcentral.
UUAAGCGACUAAGCGUACACGGUGGAUGCCCUGGCAGUCAGAGGCGAUGAAGGACGUGCUAAUCUGCGAAAAGCGCCGGCGAGGUGAUAUGAACCCUUGACCCGGCGAUGUCCGAAUGGGGAAACCCAGUGCAAUCCGUUGCACUAUCGUUAACUGAAUACAUAGGUUAACGAGGCGAACCGGGGGAACUGAAACAUCUAAGUACCCCGAGGAAAAGAAAUCAACCGAGAUUCCCCCAGUAGCGGCGAGCGAACGGGGAGCAGCCCGGAGUCUGAAUCAGCUUGUGUGUUAGUGGAACGGUCUGGAAAGUCCGACGGUACAGGGUGAUAGUCCCGUACACGAAAGCACACAUGCUGUGAACUCGAAGAGUAGGGCGGGACACGUGGUAUCCUGUCUGAAUAUGGGGGGACCAUCCUCCAAGGCUAAAUACUCCUGACUGACCGAUAGUGAACCAGUACCGUGAGGGAAAGGCGAAAAGAACCCCGGCGAGGGGAGUGAAAAAGAACCUGAAACCGUGUACGUACAAGCAGUGGGAGCCUCUUUAUGGGGUGACUGCGUACCUUUUGUAUAAUGGGUCAGCGACUUAUAUUCUGUAGCAAGGUUAACCGUAUAGGGGAGCCGAAGGGAAACCGAGUCUUAACUGGGCGUUAAGUUGCAGGGUAUAGACCCGAAACCCGGUGAUCUAGCCAUGGGCAGGUUGAAGGUUGGGUAACACUAACUGGAGGACCGAACCGACUAAUGUUGAAAAAUUAGCGGAUGACCUGUGGCUGGGGGUGAAAGGCCAAUCAAACCGGGAGAUAGCUGGUUCUCCCCGAAAGCUAUUUAGGUAGCGCCUCGUGAACUCAUCUUCGGGGGUAGAGCACUGUUUCGGCUAGGGGGCCAUCCCGGCUUACCAACCCGAUGCAAACUACGAAUACCGAAGAAUGUUAUCACGGGAGACACACGGCGGGUGCUAACGUCCGUCGUGAAGAGGGAAACAACCCAGACCGCCAGCUAAGGUCCCAAAGUCAUGGUUAAGUGGGAAACGAUGUGGGAAGGCACAGACAGCCAGGAUGUUGGCUUAGAAGCAGCCAUCAUUUAAAGAAAGCGUAAUAGCUCACUGGUCGAGUCGGCCUGCGCGGAAGAUGUAACGGGGCUAAACCAUGCACCGAAGCUGCGGCAGCGACACUUAUGUGUUGUUGGGUAGGGGAGCGUUCUGUAAGCCGUUGAAGGUGUGCUGUGAGGCAUGCUGGAGGUAUCAGAAGUGCGAAUGCUGACAUAAGUAACGAUAAAGCGGGUGAAAAGCCCGCUCGCCGGAAGACCAAGGGUUCCUGUCCAACGUUAAUCGGGGCAGGGUGAGUCGACCCCUAAGGCGAGGCCGAAAGGCGUAGUCGAUGGGAAACAGGUUAAUAUUCCUGUACUUGGUGUUACUGCGAAGGGGGGACGGAGAAGGCUAUGUCAGCCGGGCGACGGUUGUCCCGGUUUAAGCAUGUAGGCGGAGGUUCCAGGUAAAUCCGGUACCUUAUUAACGCUGAGGUGUGAUGACGAGGCACUACGGUGCUGAAGUGAUAAAUGCCCUGCUUCCAGGAAAAGCCUCUAAGCAUCAGGUAACACGAAAUCGUACCCCAAACCGACACAGGUGGUCAGGUAGAGAAUACCAAGGCGCUUGAGAGAACUCGGGUGAAGGAACUAGGCAAAAUGGUGCCGUAACUUCGGGAGAAGGCACGCUGAUAUGUAGGUGAAGCCCCUGCGGGCGGAGCUGAAAUCAGUCGAAGAUACCAGCUGGCUGCAACUGUUUAUUAAAAACACAGCACUGUGCAAACACGAAAGUGGACGUAUACGGUGUGACGCCUGCCCGGUGCCGGAAGGUUAAUUGAUGGGGUUAGCGGCAACGCGAAGCUCUUGAUCGAAGCCCCGGUAAACGGCGGCCGUAACUAUAACGGUCCUAAGGUAGCGAAAUUCCUUGUCGGGUAAGUUCCGACCUGCACGAAUGGCGUAAUGAUGGCCAGGCUGUCUCCACCCGAGACUCAGUGAAAUUGAACUCGCUGUGAAGAUGCAGUGUACCCGCGGCAAGACGGAAAGACCCCGUGAACCUUUACUAUAGCUUGACACUGAACACUGGUCCUUGAUGUGUAGGAUAGGUGGGAGGCUUUGAAGCGUGGACGCCAGUCUGCGUGGAGCCAACCUUGAAAUACCACCCUUUAAUGGCUGGUGUUCUAACGUGGACCCGUUACCCGGGUUGCGGACAGUGUCUGGUGGGUAGUUUGACUGGGGCGGUCUCCUCCCAAAGAGUAACGGAGGAGCACGAAGGUUGGCUAAUCCUGGUCGGACAUCAGGAGGUUAGUGCAAUGGCAUAAGCCAGCUUGACUGCGAGCGUGACGGCGCGAGCAGGUGCGAAAGCAGGUCAUAGUGAUCCGGUGGUUCUGAAUGGAAGGGCCAUCGCUCAACGGAUAAAAGGUACUCCGGGGAUAACAGGCUGAUACCGCCCAAGAGUUCAUAUCGACGGCGGUGUUUGGCACCUCGAUGUCGGCUCAUCACAUCCUGGGGCUGAAGUAGGUCCCAAGGGUAUGGCUGUUCGCCAUUUAAAGUGGUACGCGAGCUGGGUUUAGAACGUCGUGAGACAGUUCGGUCCCUAUCUGCCGUGGGCGCUGGAGAAUUGAGGGGGGCUGCUCCUAGUACGAGAGGACCGGAGUGGACGCAUCACUGGUGUUCGGGUUGUCAUGCCAAUGGCACUGCCCGGUAGCUAAAUGCGGAAGAGAUAAGUGCUGAAAGCAUCUAAGCACGAAACUUGCCCCGAGAUGAGUUCUCCCUGAGACUUUAAGUCUCCUGAAGGAACGUUGAAGACGACGACGUUGAUAGGUCGGGUGUGUAAGCGCAGCGAUGCGUUGAGCUAACCGAUACUAAUGAACCGUGAGGCUUAACCUU